RNAcentral lists this ribosomal RNA (707 nucleotides) under uncultured marine group III euryarchaeote. RNAcentral's name for it is "bacterial SSU rRNA". It matches the Rfam family "Archaeal small subunit ribosomal RNA", at positions 1 to 714 of the family's 1478-position model. The record is from RNAcentral. Lineage: Archaea; Methanobacteriati; Thermoplasmatota; Thermoplasmata; Candidatus Thermoprofundales.
UUCUGGUUGAUCCUGCCGAAGGCUACUGCUAUUGGAGUUCGAUUAAGCCAUGCGAGUCUAAGGGACUUCGGUCCCUGGCAUAAUGCUCAGUAACAAGUGGAUAAUCUGCCCUUAGGUGAGGAAUAAACCCGGGAAACUGGGGCUAAUACCUCAUAGACACAAGAAGCUGGAAUGCUCCUGUGUUCAAAGCUCCGGCGCCUAAGGAUGAGUCUGCUUCCUAUCAGGUUGUAGUCAGGGUCAUGACCUGACUAGCCAGCGACGGGUACGGGGUGUGAGAGCACUUGCCCGGAGAUGGUUUCUGAGACACGAAACCAGGCCCUACGGGGCGCAGCAGGCGCGAAAACUUCGCAAUGCGGGAAACCGUGACGAGGGAACUCCAAGUGUCUAUGCAAUGCAUAGACUGUUUUUCAGCCUAAAUAGCUGUUAGAGUAAGAGGUGGGCAAGACCGGUGCCAGCCGCCGCGGUAACACCGGCACCUCAAGUGGUAGCCACUAUUAUUGGGCCUAAAGCGUUCGUAGCCGGUUUGGUAAAUUCUUGGGUAAAUCGUACAGCUUAACUGUGCGGAUUCCGGGGACACUACCAGACUUGAGACCGGGAGAGAUCAGAGGUACUUGUAGGGGAGCGGUGAAAUGUUGUAAUCCUACAGGGACCACCAGUGGCGAAGGCGUCUGAUCAUAACGGCUUUGACGGUGAGGAACGAAACCCUG